This 1525-nucleotide ribosomal RNA is filed under the name human gut metagenome. RNAcentral describes it as "bacterial LSU rRNA". It matches the Rfam family "Bacterial large subunit ribosomal RNA", at positions 875 to 2487 of the family's 2925-position model. The record is from RNAcentral.
GCUAGCCUCAUAUUAGAUACCCGGAGGUAAAGCACUGAAUGGCCUAGCGCCCGAGAGGGUAGCGAAGCCUAUCAAACUAAGAAUGCCGGAGUAUUGAUGUAUGGGAGUCAGACAGUGUGAGAUAAAUCUCAUUGUCAAAAGGGAAACAGCCCAGAUCUACAGCUAAGGUCCCAAAUUGUAUCUAAGUGGAAAACGAUGUGGAAAUACGCAGACAACCAGGAUGUUGGCUCAGAAGCAGCCACUCAUUCAAAGAGUGCGUAAUAGCUCACUGGUCGAGCGUCUUUGCGCGGAGAAUUUAACGGGGCUAAACCUGACACCGAAGCUUAGGCAAUCCAGUAAUGGAUUGGGUAGGGGAGCGUUGUAUACGCGGAGAAACAGUAGCGUAAGCGGCUGUGGAGUGUAUAGAAGUGAGAAUGCCGGAAUGAGUAGCGCGAAUGCAGUGAGAAUCUGCAUGGCCGAAAGCCUCAGGUUUUUGGAGGAAGGUUCGUCCGCUCCAAGUUAGUCGGGAGCUAAGGUGAGGCCGGAAGGCGUAGCCGAUGCACAGACGGUAGAGAUUCCGUCACCACCAAAAGAGUUAAGCACAGGGACACAUUUGAAGUCUCAGAGCCGGGUGUUGGUUCCGGUAGAGAUCGAGGGAAAUUAGUACCGAAGUCUGAGAUGGAAGAUGGCGAGAAAAGCUGUGUGUAUUUCUGAGGUGCCCGUACCGCAAACCGACACAGGUAGGUAGGAAGAAGAUUCUAAGGCCAACGGGAGAAGGGUUGUUAAGGAACUCGGCAAAUUGACCCCGUAACUUCGGGAGAAGGGGUGCUCCAGAGAUGGAGCCGCAGAGAAUCGGCCCAAGCAACUGUUUACCAAAAACACAGGUUUGUGCUAAAUCGAAAGAUGACGUAUACGAGCUGACGCCUGCCCGGUGCUGGAAGGUUAAGAGGAGAUGUGCAAGCAUUGAAUCGAAGCCCCAGUGAACGGCGGCCGUAACUAUAACGGUCCUAAGGUAGCGAAAUUCCUUGUCAGGUAAGUUCUGACCCGCAUGAAAGGCGUAAUGAUUUGGGCACUGUCUCAACAGCCCGCCCGGCGAAAUUGUAGUACUGGUGAAGAUGCCAGUUACCCGCAACUAGACGGAAAGACCCCAUGGAGCUUUACUGUAGCUUAAUACUGGAAAUCGGUAAAUCAUGUACAGGAUAGGUGGGAGACUUGGAAGCCAGGGCGUCAGCUUUGGUGGAGUCACCCUUGGGAUACCACCCUUGAUUUGCUGGUUUUCUAACCUGCGGCCGUGAAUCCGGUCGGGGGACACUGUUAGGUGGGCAGUUUGACUGGGGCGGUCGCCUCCUAAAAGGUAACGGAGGCGCUCAAAGGUUCGUUCAGCACGGACGGAAAUCGUGCAGUGAGUGUAAACGCAGAAACGAGCCUAACUGCGACACCGACGGGUGGAGCAGUAACGAAAGUUGGAGUUAGUGAUCCGGCGGUAUGUGCGUGGAAAUGCCGUCGCUCAACGGAUAAAAGCUACCCUGGAGAUCGGAAGAGCGUC